This 653-nucleotide unclassified non-coding RNA is filed under the name Hevea brasiliensis (rubber tree). Lineage: Eukaryota; Viridiplantae; Streptophyta; Magnoliopsida; Malpighiales; Euphorbiaceae. The record is from RNAcentral.
GCACUUCCUGCAGAUGAAGAGAGGGGUAAGUUGGCGGAUCCAUUUUAUCGUCUUGAACAUCAAGAAGAGGAUUUGCAGAAGAAGAAAGAAGCUGAGCCAGUGCUAGUUCGGCUUCAACGAGUAUCUGAUGCUAGGCAUUCAGAUGACUAUGCUCUUAACAAGGCUCUUCGAGCCCAACUUAGAAGUCAAAAGAAAAGAGUUGCUGAAGAAGAGGUCGCCUCAAGGAAAAUGGGACUUGGCAUAAGACUGCUUCCGACUGCUAAAGAAGAUUCUGUUGCAGCAGCAAAUGUGAAGUUCUCUUCCAAGUUUGACAAAAAUAGAAGGGAUAAGCGAGCAUUAAUUAAUGCAACUUCAAUCUUUUCAGAAUCUUCUGUACCCUCCUCGUCCAAUAAGAAGCGAUUGGAGCUAGAAGCCAAGAGAAGGAAAAUCAGUGCAGCUGCAGCAUCAAACUUGCUGAGAGGGGGAUUUAAGCCAUCUUCAUGGUCGCGGGGUGCGGUUUCUUCAAUCAGGCAUAAGUGAAUAAAUUCAAGACAUUUUUAGCUAUGGAUAGUAUGCGUAACUGAUGUUUCUCUGCAUUUGGAUUUAAUAUCUAUGUGUGGAAUUUUUUUCUCCUUUGCCUGCUCUAGGUGGCAUUGGAUCAUGUACAUAGCAGU